GGGGGCGACAUGGUUUCGACGGGGGUGGAUGAGGCGUGGGAUGCGUGCCGAGGACCCCGGUUGGCCUCGUUAAUCAUCCGGGAACAAGUUAACUGCGAACCAAAACUUCGCACUCGCCGCCUAAUUUGCGCGGCGCGUCCACCCCGUGACCGCCUGCUAACGGACGUGGACGACGACUAGCGGGCCUUGCGCCGGAACGGCCGAGGGAACGUCCGGCAGAGUAGGUUUCCCCCUAGCGAAGCGGGACAGCGCGCCUGACGCGGUUCCGCCCGGCGAAUCAACAAAAGAAAGGCUACGCACGUAGGAUCCCCCGCUGAGGCACUUCCGGACGCGGGUUCGAUUCCCGCCGCCUCCACCA
This 358-nucleotide transfer-messenger RNA is filed under the name Planctomycetota bacterium. It matches the Rfam family "transfer-messenger RNA". Rfam says of the family: Bacterial tmRNA, also known as 10Sa RNA or SsrA, is named for its dual tRNA and mRNA-like properties. Its role is to liberate the mRNA from a stalled ribosome. Lineage: Bacteria; Pseudomonadati; Planctomycetota. The record is from RNAcentral.